Long non-coding RNA from Pteropus alecto (black flying fox), 1445 nucleotides. RefSeq lists it as uncharacterized. Lineage: Eukaryota; Metazoa; Chordata; Mammalia; Chiroptera; Pteropodidae. The transcript is spliced from 5 exons. The record is from RefSeq and is a predicted model, not a curated record.
CGGAAACUCGGAGGCAACUCUUCGCAGGUCGGAGGUCCUGCGUGUGCGACCGAUUUCCGCACAUGCGCGGUCGGCGGCCGCCGUGCCCAUUCGACGUCUUAGGUAGCGGCGCGGCUGUUCUGCGGGCGUCCCGUGGUAGGGACACAUUUGGAGACAGAGGCUGGAGCCCUGUGUCACAGAGCUGAACACCCACACCUGGCCCAGGAAUUGGAGAAGCUGAAGGAGGUUCUAAGGGAACAUGGAGCAAUUGCAGACCCAGCCACUCCUCACAUCAAGGCCGACACCUGUGGCACAAUAUGGAGCAGAGCCCACCUGCGCCCACCAGCCCAGACACUUACCUUUUUGCGUGGCCGAAGCUUAUCCCGCCAUUCCUUCAGGUUCUGGUUAUGGCUCUCGUCCAAGGCCUUCAGCUUCUGGGUUUCAUGCUCUACCAGGAGGUGACACUUUUCAUUCUGGAACAAAUUCCAGGCGGCAGAACAGGGCCGCCUCCCGGUCUGUGGAAGACCCAGCGCCCGUUGAGGUGCCGACGGCCAGCGCCCACCCGGCCGCCUCACGGUGUAGCUGAUGACCGUGCCACCUCAGUGGACUACCCUGGACGAGCUGACUGAGCCAGCUCCUAGACACUUCGUUGAUAGCUGCAGGCUGAGCACGCUGCAGCAGGAUGGGUUCGGAGUCAGGAGCCAGAGAAACGGAGCCCUUUGCCAGGAUUUAGCACAGAAACAUCGUGAUCAUAAAGAAAACUUAGAAAAUAUACAGAGAAAAAACGGAAGAGCCUCAGGACAGUUCGACCAACUGUGACAGGUGGGCCUUAACGGGCCCCUGAUUCCAACGGCAAACUACAAAGCUGGAGACGUGAGUCCUGACUCGACUGCAAACAUGUUACAAAACAACUACUGUUGAGUAACUGAUGUCUCAGGCGCGCUGAGGGCGCUGUGCUCGUUUCUCUGAGAUACUUGAGGAUCUGCGCCCGCGUGUCCUUAGCAUUAUUCACAAUAGCCAAGGAGUGGAAACAGCUCACGCGUCCAUAGAUGGACGGACAGAAUGUGUCUUACCCCACGAAGGAACAGUAUUCAGCCCUAAAAAGAAAGGAAAUUCUUCUACAUGCUACCACAUAAAUGAAUCUUGAGGACAUUACAUUAAAUGAAAUAAGCCAGUCGCAAAAGGAAAAUUAUGAGUCCACUUAUGAGAGCAGGAAGUGGGGGCCAGGAGCUGGGGGAGGGGGCGGGUUGUUUCAUGAGCACAGAGGUCACGAGACGCCAUGGUGGGAAGAUGAGCGCAUAGCCACGGGAUGAAGGGGGCGGAGGGGCUGGCAGGGCCUUGUCUGCCCGCGGGGGGUUCUCAAAGCUCAGGGCUGUGGGAGGAGGGAGACCCCAUCAGAUGGGGAUUUUGUGUUGAUCACACUCGCUGCUGUAAGGGAGGACGGGGGACCAGCUGGGGGCUACUGU